CAAGACUGCCAAGAAUUUAGAACUGAGGCAGAUAGGAGAGACGGUGAAGAGUAAGUGAACAAGAGAACUCAAAUAAGAUGCCGAGACGGGCACUAUCUUGAUCACAGAUGUGGAGGAGCUAGUGCAAUAAAUAAGUUUUUAAUGUCUGGGUCACUUCUCUUUGGUCCACCAGCUUCUCUCUCCUGUUGUUUUAUGUACAGCAUACUAAUAUGGGCUAAGACUAUGACCUCCAUCAUUGCUCAUUAUACCAAGAGUUAUAUUUGGUCAUGUUUUAUUUAUAAAACUUUCUUUUAAAAAACUGCUAUAAUUUGAGAGAGUUUUAAAGAUGCCUUUACCUUCACUUUAUAAAUAUGAGAAUAGGAAAAAAAAAGAGGCCUCUGAAUUUUGUGUUAUCCUAGGAUGUACAGAGAAGACAAGCCAAUGAAGACCUGCCUUGUCACAUUCAAUAGAGCAACUGCAGAAGCAAUUUGUUACCAGCAGAUGGAUAGUUGAACACUGAAAAGGAUGAUAAACUGGAACAAAAUUAGAUAUUGAAAUCAAUUUCUUUUAGGCUUACCAUGAAACUUCACAUUUACACAAACAAUUGUAUUUGAAGAAGUCAGAAAAAAAAAUGCCAUACUAAGACGGGUGCCCAUGAAAACAGAACUUUACACAUGCUAUAGCCUUUAUAGCCACCAUUUACUUGGUAGGUCCAAAUAUUUAUAGUUCAUUGUUAUGACUGCCAAAACUGGCAACCACAAGGAUUGUUGUCUCAAUUAGGACAGUAAACAGAUUGUCUCUUUUUUUAAUGAAAAAAUCUAAAAUGUAAUACUUCACAGUUUAACAUGUUUAUUCAUCUAAACGAGCUAAAAAAUAAUGGUGCGACAUCUGUUCGAGAGGCAUUGGUACCUCAAAUUUUGGCUGCCUCCCCACCAAUUUGGUUGUUGUUUUAAAAAAAUGAAGAAUAGGAGGGGGUACUGUCAUCAAAAAAUCUUCUGGCAAGUGAAGUAUCUUAUUUUUCUUGAAAUAUGAUCUCAUGUCUGUUGCUAGGGAUAAAAAAAAAUUUGUUUAACAAGGAGGCACAGUGCUGAAUAUGACAGCAGUUCAAUUGUUUUAAAUAUAUCUACUGACCCACUAUAGAUAUUUCCACAUUGGUAUAGUUCUUUAAGCAACUCUCCCAGUUCCCUCUAUAUUUACCUAUAUAGCUAAAACCUAUACAAAAUAGCAAAGUGUUUCUGUAUCCACUGGAUUCAUCUGCUACGAUAUUUUCUGUAGGUUAUACUGAUUUUAGAUAUGGUGUCAGUGGAACAAAAUCUAGCAAACAUCCUAACCAGACUGCACUGGAGCAAUUCUAAUAAAAGAAGGCAGUGCUGCUAAGGGAGAAGCGGUGUGAAUCUCCCCAGAGAAGCCUCAGGUAAGUGUAAAGAAGCCUAAUUGCUGGUAACAAGAAAAUAAAAGCUUAUCUUAGAUAGCCUCUGGCUCAACAACCUUAUUUAUAGAUGAAAUACAUUAACAUUUAAAAUCUGUUUAAUUUCUAGAAGUUUAUUUCUGAAGCUUAUCUAAAGUAUAACUUGUUCUACUGAAUUAUCAUGACUAUAUAAUUUCAGAAUCUGGAAAAAUAAAGCAUCUUCAUUUUCACAUAAAUAUAAACAUUAUAAUGAAAAUUUAGUUUUACUUUCAGUAAGAGUGAAGAUUUAGACUAAGUUAAAUUUCAAACAAUGAGUAUGAUUUUGAAUGAUAAUUAAGAUCAGAAUAACGUAUUUGACUUCCUGGAAAAGAGCAAUAUUUCUGUUUUACAAUAGAUCUAAUGCUAGUUGUCUUGAUCUUCAAGAAAACUAGGGUUAAAUGUAUAUGUGCCCCAAUACAAGCAAAGAUCAUAAAUGCUAAGUGCUGAGUUGAAAAAUAUUGUAAUUUUAAGUUUUAUUUAUUAAAUACAAAUAAUUUUUGACCAUAUAUCACAUGCAAAAACUGUGCCAGGCUCUGAGAAGACUAAAAGAGAUUAAUUUUAACAUGCAUUUAUUAAAUAUAUGCAGAUCACCACACUACUGAAAUUACAGAAAAAUAAGAAUAUAUUCUCAGGACUUUGUAAUCAUCAGUUGAAAUGGAAAUAUUUCUAUUUUAUGAAAAAUUGAAAAAGGUUAGAAAAUCUUCAAGUAUUUUGUCACCUUAAAACAACAAACCUCAUACUAGUACUAAAAUAGGCUUUUAGUACAUUUGUUUCAAAAGAAAUUCUAGAUGAGGUAAUAUUUUUACAUCUCCUCUCAGAUGAAUUUACAUUUUCUUUAUUUUGCAUGCAAGAUAAGAUGCAGUAACCAUUUUCACUUCAUUCACAACAUUUCCUAGGUUGUACAUUAAGUCCAGCUGCAUUAGUUGAAAUUAUUUUUUCCUGCAGAAACAGCAUGUUAACAGAUUCUAAUAUUCUGAAAAGUAAUUAAAUUUUUCUGUUUUUGUCUUCUGAAUUACUCUGAGCGAUGAAUUAUUGCAGGGGAAAAACCCACUCCUAAAAUCUGUCUGGUGCCAGUCUCAGACUUACACCAAAUACCCCUCACUAUUCAAAAGUGUAGUGCCCUGAAAACCGUAGGCAGGAUAACACCUCUCUGACCUCAAAGAUUCAAACUAGACUUCAACCCGGGAUUUCUCUAUAAAAAACUGCUGCUUUCUAACUAAGGUGAGUUUGAAAAAUGUGGACUUCAUGAAAAUAGUGUAUUGUAAACAUACACUGUCUCACUUUACCUGCUAUUUAUUAAAAUCAGAAUUUAGCUCUUAGAACUUACCAUAAGUCAGUCAGUCAUACAAACAGACCAGCCAUAGACUCAGAGUAUUGGUAAAACUAUGUAAUGAAACUUGCCUAUAAUCAUACUAUGUUUAGCCUAAUAUUCAUUAUUAUCAAAAACAACAUUUUCUCCCAAAGAAUACCUCAAUGGUAGAACAGGAUAAUAAAUUAUUUUUUCAGGGUAAUGAAUUUUCAAACAUUUCUAAGAGUAUAAUCAUGUAUUUUAAAUACUAUAAAUUCUGUUAUAUCUCACUUGGAUAGGUAUAUAAUAAACAAGUAUUACAUAUCCUUGCAUUUAAAUUACCGCUGAAAUUAGAAAUAAUCUUUAUUUAAUAUGACUGCAUUUAGCACCAGAUGGGAGGGAAAAUAACUAAAUGAAAAUUGUUCACGUAAAUGUGAUAGGAGUAAGGGAAAACAGUAUUUCUUGACAUGUGGCAUGUCACUCAGGAAAGUAAAAGACCCAUCAUAUCCAAAAUGCCAGCUUGGAUAUUCCCUUGCCACCCACUUCACAAACAGACAUACCACAUGGCAUUAAAUGCUGCAACCUUUCGUAAAAAUGCCACUUGGAUUGGUCCACUGUGGUGAGUAUAUAGGAACUCUUGGUCUGUCUCUUAAGUUUGUGAUUUCAAGGGGAAGAAUCCAGUAAAUAGCAUUGGCUAAAUUCUGCCCUCAGCUGUUUGACAAAAAGGAUCUAUGAGGAUACUGGAUCUUUUGGCUAUUUGCAUCUAAU
Molecule: long non-coding RNA, 3482 nt
Filed under: Bos grunniens (domestic yak)
Lineage: Eukaryota; Metazoa; Chordata; Mammalia; Artiodactyla; Bovidae
Description: lncRNA (ENSBGRG00000010292.1)
Source: RNAcentral